Molecule: ribosomal RNA, 253 nt
Filed under: uncultured bacterium
Lineage: Bacteria
Description: partial 16S ribosomal RNA
Rfam family: Bacterial small subunit ribosomal RNA
Source: RNAcentral
UACGGAGGGUGCGAGCGUUGUCCGGAAUCAUUGGGCGUAAAGGGCGCGUAGGUGGCCCGGUCAGUCGAUGGUGAAAGCGCGGGGCUCAACUCCGCGUCGGCCGUCGAUACUGCUGGGCUUGAGCACUGUAGAGGCAGGCGGAAUUCCGGGUGUAGCGGUGGAAUGCGUAGAGAUCCGGAAGAACACCGGUGGCGAAGGCGAGUCCCUGGACAACACCUGACACUGAGGCACGAAAGCUAGGGGAGCAAACAGG